RNAcentral lists this ribosomal RNA (903 nucleotides) under Hyphochytrium catenoides. It matches the Rfam family "Bacterial small subunit ribosomal RNA", at positions 313 to 1205 of the family's 1533-position model. The record is from RNAcentral. Lineage: Eukaryota; Hyphochytriomycetes; Hyphochytriales; Hyphochytriaceae.
CUGGGACUGAGACACGGCCCAGACUUCGUUUGAAGGCAGCAGUGGGGAAUCUUGGACAAUGGGCGCAAGCUUGAUCCAGCAAUGUCACGUGAAGGACCAAUAAAUUUUUCGCCUGGAAGGAUUUCAUUGGAAAUUGACGACUAAGUCGUAAACUUCGAUCAUCAAGGAGGAACAUGACAGUACUUAGAUGAAAGUCCCGGCAAACCUCGUGCCAGCAGCCGCGGUAAUACGGGGGGGGCAAGCGUUAUUCAAUUUAACUGGGCGUAAAGCGUCUGUAGGCGGCAAGUUUCGUUAUUCGGUAAAAAUUAAAGCUUAACUUUAAAAGACGGAUAAAACGUACUUAGCUAGAGUCAUAGAGAGGAGAGUAGAAUUUCUGAAAUAGGGAUAAAAUCCGAAGAUAUCAGAAGGAAUACCAAAGGCGAAGGCAACUCUCUGGCUAUGUCUGACGCUCAGAGACGAAGGCGUGGGGAGCAAAUGGGAUUAGGUACCCCAGUAGUCCAUGCAGUAAACGAUGAGUGCUAGUCUUCAAUAAAAGACACAGCUAACGCGUCAAGCACUCCGCCUGAGGAGUACGAUCGCAAGAUUGAAACUCAAAGAAAUUGACGGGAGCCUAUCCAAGCGGUGGAGCAUGUGGUUUAAUGCGAUAAUACACGCAGAAUCUUACCAGCUCUUGACAUCAUAAUUCUUUUGAUAGAGAUAUCAAAAGCUUCUUUAUGACAGGCGUUGCAUGGCUGUCGUCAGCUCGUGUUUUGAGACGUAGGGUUAAUUCCCGUAACGAGCGUAACCCCUAUUCAAUGUUGCUGACCCAUCGGACUGACUUUUCUUUUUUUUGGAGAGUGUCAGUUGUUUUAUAUUUGUUUGUUGACCAAAGAUUUUAACAAUGUCAAUUUGACAAGGCUUAAU